This 253-nucleotide ribosomal RNA is filed under the name uncultured bacterium. Its description in RNAcentral is "partial 16S ribosomal RNA". It matches the Rfam family "Bacterial small subunit ribosomal RNA", at positions 524 to 776 of the family's 1533-position model. The record is from RNAcentral.
GACGGAAGGUGCAAGCGUUGUUCGGAAUUACUGGGCGUAAAGGGCUCGUAGGCGGCCAACUAAGUCAGACGUGAAAUCCCUCGGCUUAACCGGGGAACUGCGUCUGAUACUGGAUGGCUUGAAUCCGGGAGAGGGAUGCGGAAUUCCAGGUGUAGCGGUGAAAUGCGUAGAUAUCAGGAAGAACACCCGUGGCGAAGGCGGCUCUCUGGGACGGUACUGACGCUGAGACGCGAAAGCGUGGGGAGCGAACAGG